This 291-nucleotide ribosomal RNA is filed under the name Triticum aestivum (bread wheat). RNAcentral describes it as "partial small subunit ribosomal RNA". The record is from RNAcentral. Lineage: Eukaryota; Viridiplantae; Streptophyta; Magnoliopsida; Poales; Poaceae.
AUGAGGCCCCAGGUGCUGCUCGCUGCGUUGGCCGUCGUCGCCCUCCUCGCAGCUGCUCUGCCUCUCGCCCACAGCCAAGGUGCGACCCCAAGUGCGUCGUUGUGCUGCAACAACUGUGGCACCUGCACCAGGUCUAUCCCGCCCAGGUGCACGUGCAUGGACGCAUCGCCCAGCGGCUGCAACCCGGCUUGCAAGACCUGCGACAAGACCACCGUCGCCGGCCGCGACAGCUUCCAGUGCAAGGACCGUGUCGCAAACUUCUGCCAGCGCAGCUGCACUAAGGCCCCGUGA